GCAUCACUCUCAACUGAAUCCGAAGUUAAAUUGACAGGGGUAUGGAUUUUUGAGCCAACUACUGGUUAGGCGUGAGAAAGGCUGGAUUCUCCGAUGGCGGAUGGACAUCCAUCGGUGAAGGUUGGCCUCUAGGAGUAGAAAACGAGAAGGGACGUGUGAGACGCUUGGUACGCGUCACAACUUUUAUACCCGGCACUCAGUACAACAUCUACUCCUUAGCGGUUAUUUGUCAAAUUUUACAUAUUUUCUUCAUCUGUCAUCUACAUCAACAACACUACUCACACCAACACGCUCCUUUAGCUCGCCGCCCUUCCCUAGACCCACACACUGCAGACUCGCGGCAGAGGCAGAGGCAGCGCCCGCGCGCAAAAAAAAACAAAUAUAAGAUGUGGGACGGGGUGGGAUAAAAGUCGUCAGGGGCGUUGGCAGGGGGAGGGCAGAGGCAGAGGCCGAGUGAAGAAGAAUCAGAGUGUGAAUGAGAGAAUGUAAAAAGAACAACAAAGCUUCGGGACAGGGUGGGUUUAGCCACUGAAAAUUAAUUUCUCCAUUGUGGCUAUAGUAAUGAUCCAAUCGGAUCCCAAUUUGGUGAUCUGAUAGAUAUAGCCAUUCCCUACAGAAUUUUUAGUUUUUAGAUUUCUUUUAUCUUCAAAAUUGUAGGUUUGGUCGGUUUUCGCCCUUUUGCGGGUGCGGAAGGGGGCGAAAUUUUGAAAUACACUGGUUUCAGCGUAAGCAUACAGCAGUCUGGAGCCAAAAUUUGGUGACUCUAGGUCUUAUAGUUUCUGAGAACUAGCCGACAAACAAGACGGACAGACGGACGGACGGACAGACAGACAUGACUCUAUUGACUCGGCUAUUGAUGCUGAUCAAGAAUAUAUAUACUUUAUGGGGUCGGAAACGUUUCCUUCUGUGCUUUAUAUACAACCGUUAUUCACACAAAUACAAUAUACCCUAUUUACUCUUCGAGUACCGGGUAUAAUGAGUCCAUCAGUUGUAGGUGAGAGGCAGGCGUUCCACUAGGUAAGACCAGCAGUAGAUUGUUGUUCGGUAUUUUCCUCCUUGGUGACUAGCUCAAGAGUUUGAGGCCCAGAAAUUGCGAUUCCAAAGUAAGGAACUUCUCGUUGAGAGCAUUGAAUUACUUCCGAACAACUUGGAAACCAUUCCUCGUUUGUCUCAUAAAGAUGCGCAUUUACGCCUCAAUCUCCCUGCAGGCCAAACAUGACCAAGUAAGACCCAUGCGGAUUUCUUUGCACUGCAGAUAAGAGCCAUUUUCAACAGCUGUUGGGUCACUGUGCACAGCAAGAAAAAAGACGCACUGAGAGCACAAGCUAGAUGAGAGACCAGGCAGCAUUAGCAGCAGAACGAGCACGAUGAUCAGCAGUUAUGUAUGCACGUAUGUAUGUACAUAUAUACAGGGUAGACGGCGCAGCGAAGUGACGAAAGCUAACGGCGAACUCCAAUAAAGCAAAGCAGAGACGCCGAGAUAUUCGUCCAAAAACGAAGAAUGUUGGCGUCGUAUGGUGAGAGUGAAAUCCAGAAAGUGAGUAGGCAGUGCAACGGACCAUGGUAGAAUUACUAAUAGGUAUCGUCAUCAGCUGAGUGGAGGAUCACCAGCUUAUUCACCACGCUCUCUCAGCUCUCAGAGAGGCAAGCGCUAGAGAGAGAUAGCAAACGUUUUAAGUUCUGCACUAUUCGCUUUUAUUGUUUCUGCUGGCAGCAAGUAAAGAUUUGGAGCGGC
RNAcentral lists this long non-coding RNA (1735 nucleotides) under Drosophila guanche. Lineage: Eukaryota; Metazoa; Arthropoda; Insecta; Diptera; Drosophilidae. The record is from RNAcentral.